This 503-nucleotide long non-coding RNA is filed under the name Felis catus (domestic cat). RNAcentral describes it as "lncRNA (ENSFCAG00000050138.1)". Lineage: Eukaryota; Metazoa; Chordata; Mammalia; Carnivora; Felidae. The record is from RNAcentral.
GGCCUCUGACCGGAGGUGACACCUAUCCCUUUGACUCACAAUCCAUCAGCAAGAACAUGUGGAGGGACAGAGUGCCAAGGAAGGUGGUGCUGAUGUGUCAGAAUAACCAGCUAGUCUCCGCUACACCAUGGGCGGUGGCCGUGCCUUAUUCCAGUUAAAUUAACCAGCCUCCACUGCAGGAUGCUGACACUGACAGGAGGAGUUCCUGGCCCCCCAGAGAGACAGAGCUUCACAUAAAGAAAACUGAGGUGCAGGGCUGGGGCAAGAAACGUCUUCCUUUGUGGCUGUUUCUUCGCAUAGGUAAAGUCUGGUGGUUUAAUGCAGGUAUUCUCUCCCAUCCUCCUUACCCUAACUUCAUUUUCAUCUGAAAGAGUGCAAUGAGGAAAGGGCGCUUAGUGCCCGGUGGAUUGGUGUGUAUUCUCCGGUGCGCCUACUUGUCCUAGAGUGCACAGUGGCUAAGACUUCCCUUCCUUGCCCUGAGAAAGAAAGGAUGCUCUGUUCUA